GAUAAACGCUGGCGGCGUGCAUGAGACAUGCAAGUCGAACGAAGGAUCGGGCUUGCUCGAUCCUUAGUGGCGGACGGCUGAGUAACGCGUAGGUGACCUACCCCGAAGUGGGGAAUAACUGCCCGAAAGGGUGGCUAAUACCGCAUGUGGUCGCACGUUCAUUCGUGCGAGUAAAGCCGCAAGGCGCUUCGGGAGGGGCCUGCGUCCGAUUAGCUCGUUGGUGGGGUAAUGGCUUACCAAGGCGGCGAUCGGUAGGUGGUCUGAGAGGACGAUCACCCAGACUGGGACUGAGACACGGCCCAGACUCCUACGGGAGGCAGCAGUCGGGAAUUUUGCUCAAUGGGGGAAACCCUGAAGCAGCAACGCCGCGUGAGGGAUGAAGGCCUUCGGGUUGUAAACCUCUUUUGUCAGGGACGAUGAUGACGGUACCUGGCGAAUAAGCCACGGCUAACUACGUG
RNAcentral lists this ribosomal RNA (458 nucleotides) under uncultured bacterium. Its description in RNAcentral is "partial 16S ribosomal RNA". It matches the Rfam family "Bacterial small subunit ribosomal RNA", at positions 28 to 507 of the family's 1533-position model. The record is from RNAcentral.